GGAAGAGGAAGAAGAAGAAGAAGAGCAACUCACCAUAUUUUUGUAGCUCACUAAAAUACUAUCUUCAAAACACGGGCAUAUCAUGCAAGAUAAAGGACUCGGCCAAUCAAACUAUCAAAAACUACCAUUUUCUCAGUAGAUACUGCAAUGCUGUGGGUUUUGUAUGCUAAUGUUGAUUAGACACAUGAACAAGUCAAUCAACUUGACAGAGUCUAAAGAGUCGCAGAUAUAUACCCAUUUAACACAGACACAAGAACUGCAACUGAACCUUAAGCAAGUUUUCCAAAAACAAUAUGGUAAACAUUAAUGCAUAAUUGUUAGAAUUAAACAAUCAAUGAUUCUGAUCACAUGAUUCAAUUCAAUUUAAUUCAGACAUCAAAUGACACAAAUCAGGUGCGUUAAUCAAAAUUACCAAAACUGUGGACAAAUCAUACAAUUGACAACUUGAAUGUGCAAUAUAUGAAUUUUUCAAAUAGAAUCUUUAAAUUUAAAAAAGAAAAGAAAAGCAAAGAAACUAUGCAUAAAUGUUUGGCAUAAUGUGAAUUCUCAAAUAAAAUCUAAAGCAAGUCUUCCAUAAACAAGAUAGCAACUAAUAACCCAGAAAAUAACAUAC
Molecule: unclassified non-coding RNA, 613 nt
Filed under: Hevea brasiliensis (rubber tree)
Lineage: Eukaryota; Viridiplantae; Streptophyta; Magnoliopsida; Malpighiales; Euphorbiaceae
Source: RNAcentral